This 1057-nucleotide long non-coding RNA is filed under the name Equus asinus (donkey). RNAcentral describes it as "lncRNA (ENSEASG00005028413.1)". Lineage: Eukaryota; Metazoa; Chordata; Mammalia; Perissodactyla; Equidae. The record is from RNAcentral.
UUGAUGUUUAAAAAAAAUUCUACCUCUGUGGAAUUAACACUAAUAAUUCUGUUUCAUUCCACACACGCGGCUGUUCCAGUCGUAGUCAACAUAUCUACUUCCUGACAGCAAACACUGUACUGGUGCAAAGUUUUAAUGUAACACAUUUGUGCCCACUGUCAGCAUUAAUAAUUCUGUGUGGAGGCUGCAGUGAAGUGAAGAAACUGCCUGAGCAGGGGACCACAAAUGCCUAACGUGUGAGACAAGCAUCUCGGUGAAACAAAAGCAUGACAUACUUUUUCUUUCCAAAUGAGGUAGUGCUACAACUAAAAGCCAGCUUGCCUUUCGCUUUCUAAAAUACACCUUGCUGGGGAAAACAGUUGCUCCAUCCUGUCCACUGCCCAUGUAAAUGCCAUUCAGAAAAAUAAAACGUGAAUGACAGUUCUUCGGCGGAUUUAUGAUUGGUGAUUGCACGCCAUCCCAGUGCGAAACCUGAAAUGUCCUGCUCAAGGUCAGGGUUGUUCCGGGCUCUUUCGGUGGUUGGUUCUGUAAUUCAACGAACAGGGAAUUUUAGGCGAAAGUAUAUUUCUCCUAAUCUGAUGAGGGUUCUCCUGAUUCUGAACUCCUUCAGAAAUGGGUGGCACAACUUCAGUCGGGAACACCUAAAUGGAGGACAGAGAAAGGCAGAGAACCCGAAGUGACUGAAGGAAAUCCCUGAGAACAGCCGAGUGGUCACAAAGCCCUCCUGUGAGAAGUGCCCUCCCUACACCUGGAGGAGAGGAACAGCCUCGUCUCCGAAGACAGAGACACCAAGAAGAAUCCUAACAAACGGGCCUGGCUGAGUCUCCUCCAGUUUACCACGAUCACCUCACGCUCCUUGACCUCUCCUCUUCCUCCACGACUGUGCUCUCUUCAUCCACCCCAGCAUAAAAUACGCAGGUCCAACUGGUUCUUGGGGGUCUUCAUUUCCUCACAAAGGCUCCCAUGUCAGGUAAAACUUAUAUUAAAUAAAUUUGUAUGCUUUCCCGCUCUUAACCUGUCUUUGUCAGAUCUUUAUCUUAAUCUGUCUUUUGGGACA